RNAcentral lists this long non-coding RNA (634 nucleotides) under Panax ginseng (ginseng). Its description in RNAcentral is "long non-coding RNA (PGIN_LNC010577)". Lineage: Eukaryota; Viridiplantae; Streptophyta; Magnoliopsida; Apiales; Araliaceae. The record is from RNAcentral.
GCAGAAAUUUAGAGAGAAUAAAUAAGAGAAAAGAGAGAAGAAAAGGAAAGGAGAAGAAGAGGAGGACAAGAAUAUGAGGGAACACGUAGAGGGAAUAACAUAUUUUCAAUUGAAACUAAUAGUAUAUGUCUAUAUUUACUAGUAAAAAAUUAUUCUACUGGUGGUGAGUGCUAUAUUUUCGUUUUUAACUUAAUAAUUUUUUUUAAAAAUAUUAAACUUAAUAUGUUGGCACUCAUUCAAUUUAAUAUCUUAAUAAUCAAAUAGAUUUCUUUUCCUUUCACAUAUGAUCUGUGGUUAGUAUGGGAUAAAUUUGAGAUUUUCCUUAAACUUGAGUUCGAAUUCCUUAGUCCCUGAGCUUCUCCUUGACCGGGGCGGCGACAAUUCGAUCGAAGCCAUAAACUGCUGUAAUUGACUUGAGAUCCAAUUCAGCAGGCACAAACCAACCCAAAAUUAUAGAUCUAAGGGGUGAAAUUGGGAUGGAUGAGAAAUUAAACAAAGAAAUAACCCUUUGAUCCCGAAAUAUUGAAGGAGGAUAGAAUUGUUUGUUGGGUCAGCAGCCCGGAACAUCACCCUCUCCCUCUCCCUCUCCCUCUCCCUCUUUUGUUUUCUUUCUUCUGAUCUACCUACUUUAAAU